AGAGUUUGAUCCUGGCUCAGAUUGAACGCUGGCGGAAUGCUUUACACAUGCAAGUCGAACGGCAGCACGGGGGCAACCCUGGUGGCGAGUGGCGAACGGGUGAGUAAUACAUCGGAACGUGCCCAGUCGUGGGGGAUAACGCAGCGAAAGCUGUGCUAAUACCGCAUACGAUCUACGGAUGAAAGCGGGGGACUCGCAAGGGCCUCGCGCGAUUGGAGCGGCCGAUGGCAGAUUAGGUAGUUGGUGGGGUAAAGGCUCACCAAGCCUGCGAUCUGUAGCUGGUCUGAGAGGACGACCAGCCACACUGGGACUGAGACACGGCCCAGACUCCUACGGG
This 337-nucleotide ribosomal RNA is filed under the name uncultured bacterium. RNAcentral describes it as "bacterial SSU rRNA". It matches the Rfam family "Bacterial small subunit ribosomal RNA", at positions 8 to 345 of the family's 1533-position model. The record is from RNAcentral.